Pan troglodytes (chimpanzee) is the source of this 1162-nucleotide RNA transcript. It is a transcript of the gene named family with sequence similarity 86 member C1, pseudogene, with no coding region annotated. NCBI's taxonomy places the organism in Eukaryota, Metazoa, Chordata, Mammalia, Primates, Hominidae. The transcript is spliced from 5 exons. The record is from RefSeq and is a predicted model, not a curated record.
GACAGAGUCAACGCCCGGCCCUGGCCCCGCCUCCUGAGCACUUCUCCGGGUCUGGUCUUAGCCCCGCCCCAAGACCUGUCUCCUGGACUCUGCUCCGAGUCUCGCCUCCUGAACCCAAUCAUCAUUUACCCCCACCCUAACGCCCGCCUCCGGGACUCUUAUCCUGCCCCCACGCAAGGCCCCGCCUCCAGGACGCCUCCAACCUGGACGCUUCCGAAGCCCCACUUCCAGGAUCGCCCUAUCCUGGCCCCACCCCAGGACCCACCAACCUGAACUCUCCCGAGGACCUGCCCCAACGACGCUUAUCCUGGCCCUACCCCAGGCCUCGUACUCAUGAUGCUCAUCCUGGCCCCACCCCAGGCCCCGGCCUCAUAACUCUCAUCCUGGCCCCGCCCUAGAGCCACCCCCGCGACUCUCCUCCUGACCCUACCCCCAGGCCCCGCCCCCUCUCUGCCCCGGCGCACUGCCCUGGGCCCGCCCCCCUCUUCAGUCCAGGCCCGGCUUCCGCCCAGUCUCCCGGCAACGCUGCGGCCCCGCCCCCGUCAUGGCGCCCGAGGAGAACGCGGGGAGCGAACUCUUGCUGCAGAGUUUCAAGCGCCGCUUCCUGGCGGCGCGCGCCCUGCGCUCCUUCCCCUGGCAGAGCUUAGAAGCAAAGUUAAGUGACCCAUCAGAUUCUGAGCUUCUAUGGGAUAUUUUGCAGAAGCACGAGGCUGUCCACACAGAGCCUUUGGACGAGCUGUACAAGGCACUGGCGGAGACCCUGAUGGCCAAGGAGUCCACCCAGGGCCACCGGAGCUAUUUGCUGAUGUGCUGUAUUGCCCAGAAGCCAUCGUGUCGCUGGUCGGGGUCCUGCGGAGGCUGGCUGCCUGCCGGGAGCACCAGCGGGCUCCUCAAGUCUACAUGGCCCUUACCGUCCGCAACCCAGAGACGUGCCAGCUGUUCACCACCGAGCUAUAGAGCACUUGGAGAUGGCAAUGCUGAACCUCACACUGUAGGACUCACACACGACUCCAACGGGAUUGUGAGAAUUAAGUCACUCUCGUGGGAAGAAUUUUUAUAUGGGAAAGCGGAUAAAACUUUCAUUGGACUGGAAUGUUUGGAGAAUGUUAAAUUCCAAAUCAGGAACCACAAACUGCCCUCUAAUAAGACAUCGGCUAUCUAA